Molecule: small nuclear RNA, 100 nt
Filed under: Vombatus ursinus (common wombat)
Lineage: Eukaryota; Metazoa; Chordata; Mammalia; Diprotodontia; Vombatidae
Source: RNAcentral
UUGCUUUGGAAACACAUAUAAUAAAAUUGGAAUGCUACAGAGAUUAGCAUGGCACUUGAGCAUGGAUGACAUGGAAAGUUGUGAAGCAUUCCAUAUUUUU